UUGAUCAUCUGGUAUAUUUAAAAUUAUUCAUUUUCAAUUAGUCUAUGAAUUAGUCAAUGAAGUAAUUGAAUAAAUUGAAUAAAAAUAUAUAUAUUUCCUAUCUUCUGUCUCCUAUGCUAAUGGAAGAAAAGCUAGUCCACGAAAUAAAUUAAACGACAUAAGUACUUGAUCAUCUGGUAUAUUUAAAAUUAUUCAUUUUCAAUUAAUCUAUGAAUUAUUCAAUGGAGUAAUUGAAUAAAAAAAUAUAUUUCCUAUCUUCUGUCUCCUAUGCUAAUGGAAGAAAAGCUAAUCUAAAAGAUAAAUUAAACGUUGGAUCGGUUAAAAGAAAUCGAGAUUCCCCCUGAACUGGCAUCUGAGGCAAGCCUGCUCCGUCGAACGGAAAAUGUUCAUAUGGAUUCAUGGAUUUCCUUUUUCACGAAUUUUCGCACGAUCUUCCGUUUAUCCGAGAUAUUCUGAUACAUGGAAGUUUGAUGGUAUUUACAGGACGCAGCACGAAAAUUAAUGCGAGGAUACUUGAAAGAAUAGAUUCUUUAUUUAAAUUUCUCUCGUUUCUCUUUUUGCAUAAACGCACGAGAAAGUAAAUACGUCUCCGAAGAAAAAAUUCGAAAAUUCAGCUUCGAUCAUUCGAUUUCGUUUCCAAGAAAAUUUCGCGCCAAAUAAAAACCUCUCCAUAAAUCUCUCCAACUCCGUUUUUCGUGGAGAUAAAUGUAUAAAAUAACCAAAAAAGAGAGACUUUAAGGCUGGUAUUUAUCAUCUCGAAUCGAUCUCAAUUACCGCGAAACGUAUCGACGUUUGGCGAUCGACGAACGGUGAAUUAGCCGUUGGAGAGGUUGAAGGAGGAAACGGCGUAUCGCGUGACAUUCGAAAUUGUACGAGAAAGCGGGCGCGGAGGGAGGGAGGGAGGGAAGAAAAGCGAGCGGCGCGGUGGAAAGCGAGCGGAUCGCGAUCGUGAUCGGGAGCACGCUCGUUAGAGAGGCCGCCUGCUCGUUACUCGGCCGCUUCUGCAUCAAAUCCGGCAAUUAAACAGCGGCGAUCGCGUUUGCGACGAGAUAAAUACUCGGUCAUUUCGCGAGACGGGACUUAUGGGUCGAUGAAGAUCAUGCGGGGACAAGAGAAAGGUAGGAGGGACGACAGGGGACGAUCAAGCUGGUUCCUGGACUUCUAUCGAUCUAGCAGGAUCUAGCAGGCGACCUGGACGAUGACCUCUUGCCGGAUCCAUUUCCAGAAUGUCUGGAUGUGAUGAUCAAGGAUAAUAUAAAAUACACAAAUUGUCCAAAUUGAUUUGAAGUAACAUAAAAUGGGAAAAGGAAAAUCCUAUAUUGAUUUCUUAGAAAAAUUUGUUAGUGAAAGAUCUUUCAGAAAAUUAUGUUCAAAGAUUGGAAGCUUGGAAGUUUAUUUUUUAAAAAUGAAAAAUUACGUGUUAUUAAUUCACAAGAUCAGGAAUAUCAUUUCUGAACAUUAACAUAUUAUAACGACGUGAAAUUUUAUUGCUUAUUUAUUGUCUAAAUUGAUUUGAAGUAACAUAAAAUGGGAAAAGGAAAAUCCUAUAUUGAUUUCUUAGAAAAAUUUGUUAGUGAAAGAUCUUUCAGAAAAUUAUGUUCAAAGAUGUGAAAUUAGAAGCUUGGAAGUUUAUUUUUUAAAAAUGAAAAAUUACGUGUUAUUAAUUCACAAGAUCAGGAAUAUCAUUUCUGAACAUUAACAUAUUAUAACGACGUGAAAUUUUAUUACUUAUUUAUUGUCUAAAUUGAUUUGAAGUAACAUAAAAUGGGAAAAGGAAAAUCCUAUACCGAUUUCUUAGAAAAAUUUGUUAGUGAAAGAUCUUUCAGAAAAUUAUGUUCAAAGAUUGGAAGCUUGGAAGUUUAUUUUUUAAAAAUGAAAAAUUACGUGUUAUUAAUUCACAAGAUCAGGAAUAUCAUUUCUGAACAUUAACAUAUUAUAACGACGUGAAAUUUUAUUGCUUAUUUAUUGUCUAAAUUGAUUUGAAGUAACAUAAAAUGGGAAAAGGAAAUUCUAUAUUGAUUUCUUAGAAAAAUUUGUUAGUGAAAGAUCUUUCAGAAAAUUAUGUUCAAAGAUUGGAAGCUUGGAAGUUUAUUUUUUAAAAAUGAAAAAUUACGUGUUAUUAAUUCACAAGAUCAGGAAUAUCAUUUCUGAACAUUAACAUAUUAUA
This 2167-nucleotide long non-coding RNA is filed under the name Apis mellifera (honey bee). Its description in RNAcentral is "uncharacterized LOC102653821, transcript variant X2". Lineage: Eukaryota; Metazoa; Arthropoda; Insecta; Hymenoptera; Apidae. The record is from RNAcentral.